RNAcentral lists this ribosomal RNA (439 nucleotides) under uncultured bacterium. RNAcentral's name for it is "partial 16S ribosomal RNA". It matches the Rfam family "Bacterial small subunit ribosomal RNA", at positions 339 to 795 of the family's 1533-position model. The record is from RNAcentral.
CUACGGGGUGCAGCAGUGGGGAAUAUUGCACAAUGGGGGGAACCCUGAUGCAGCAACGCCGCGUGGAGGAUGACACAUUUCGGUGCGUAAACUCCUUUUAUAUAAGAAGAUAAUGACGGUAUUAUAUGAAUAAGCACCGGCUAACUCCGUGCCAGCAGCCGCGGUAAUACGGGGGGUGCAAGCGUUACUCGGAAUCACUGGGCGUAAAGAGCAUGUAGGCGGGUAGAAAAGUUGGAAGUGAAAUCCUAUGGCUUAACCAUAGAACUGCUUCCAAAACUCUUUACCUAGAAUAUGGGAGAGGUAGAUGGAAUCUCUGGUGUAGGGGUAAAAUCCGUAGAGAUCAGAAGGAAUACCGAUUGCGAAGGCGAUCUACUGGAACAUUAUUGACGCUCAGAUGCGAAAGCGUGGGGAGCAAACAGGAUUAGAUACCCUCGUAGUC